Molecule: ribosomal RNA, 220 nt
Filed under: Aliarcobacter butzleri
Lineage: Bacteria; Pseudomonadati; Campylobacterota; Epsilonproteobacteria; Campylobacterales; Arcobacteraceae
Description: Arcobacter butzleri partial 16S ribosomal RNA
Rfam family: Bacterial small subunit ribosomal RNA
Source: RNAcentral
CUUAGUUGCUAACAGUUCGGCUGAGAAAUAUAAGGAGACUGCCUACGCAAGUACGAGGAAGGUGAGGAUGACGUCAAGUCAUCAUAGCACAGACAUACAGGGCUACACACUACUAAAAUGGAGUAUACAAGAACGCAAUACGGUCACGCGGAGCAAAUCUCAAAAAUGCCUCCCAGUUCGGAUUGUAGUCUGCAACUCGACUACAUGAAGUUGGAAUCGC